UACGGAGGGUGCGAACGUUAAUCGGAAUCACUGGGCGUAAAGCGCGCGUAGGCGGUUUGUUAAGUGGGAUGUGAAAGCCCCGGGCUUAACCUGGGAAUUGCAUUUCAAACUGGCGAACUAGAGUGCGGUAGAGGGAGGUAGAAUUUCCUGUGUAGCGGUGAAAUGCGUAGAUAUAGGAAGGAAUACCAGUGGCGAAGGCGGCCUCCUGGAUCGACACUGACGCUAAGGCGCGAAAGCGUGGGGAGCAAACAGGG
This 254-nucleotide ribosomal RNA is filed under the name uncultured bacterium. RNAcentral's name for it is "partial 16S ribosomal RNA". It matches the Rfam family "Bacterial small subunit ribosomal RNA", at positions 524 to 777 of the family's 1533-position model. The record is from RNAcentral.